AUGUCCAGAUACUAGCUUAUCUGAAAAUUCUGCCAAUUUGUGAGUUAAAUGGAAGAAUGGAUAGUUCCCAAUUUUAUAGAAUCUAUUAAAUGGAAGUUGUAAAUAACAAUCUUCAGAGUUUCCUGAUUGAAGACUGAGGUCUGUGGAUCCUCUAAGUGGCAGAGCUGGAAAAUCUCAUCUUCUGCUUGCAUUCCUGGCUUUUCUCCAAUUUGAAUUUGCAAACAUCAAGGGCUCUGCAUACUCUCUGUGCUUGAAACUGGGCCUGGAAAAGCUCAUUUGCAUUCCUGCAGCAAGGCUGGUGAAUAAACCGAGCAAACGUGUCUAUUUGUGUACUUCAAUAUAUGACUGUGCUUGCUUCAAUCAAGACUUAUUUUCAGUAUCAUGGCCAACAAAAGCAUUAAAUGAGUUUUCUCCAACAUGAAUGAUAAGCUGUAGAAUGUAUUUCUUUAAAAUAUUUUUUUCUGUGACACUUAUGGAAUGCAAUGAAAAAUAGAAGCAAGAGUGCAAAUCUCACUAGACAUUCACAAUGCUGCCUUGCCAUAUGAACUCUUUCUCCUUGUUUCCUGACAUGUUAAGUGCCUUCAUUAUAGUUUAGGUUGUAC
This 602-nucleotide long non-coding RNA is filed under the name Callithrix jacchus (white-tufted-ear marmoset). RNAcentral describes it as "lncRNA (ENSCJAG00000072072.1)". The record is from RNAcentral. Lineage: Eukaryota; Metazoa; Chordata; Mammalia; Primates; Cebidae.